RNAcentral lists this ribosomal RNA (954 nucleotides) under Salmonella enterica subsp. enterica serovar Dublin. RNAcentral describes it as "partial 23S ribosomal RNA". It matches the Rfam family "Bacterial large subunit ribosomal RNA", at positions 397 to 1227 of the family's 2925-position model. Lineage: Bacteria; Pseudomonadati; Pseudomonadota; Gammaproteobacteria; Enterobacterales; Enterobacteriaceae. The record is from RNAcentral.
CUGUGAGCUCGAUGAGUAGGGCGGGACACGUGGUAUCCUGUCUGAAUAUGGGGGGACCAUCCUCCAAGGCUAAAUACUCCUGACUGACCGAUAGUGAACCAGUACCGUGAGGGAAAGGCGAAAAGAACCCCGGCGAGGGGAGUGAAAAAGAACCUGAAACCGUGUACGUACAAGCAGUGGGAGCCCCACCACUAAGCCAGUGGUGAACUCCACAUACGCAUCCUUUGCUGAGGAUACGGUUAACGGAGCGAAAGCGACGUUCAACCGCAAAAGAAGCAGAGGGGGCUUAGUGGUGGGGUGACUGCGUACCUUUUGUAUAAUGGGUCAGCGACUUAUAUUCUGUAGCAAGGUUAACCGAAUAGGGGAGCCGGAGGGAAACCGAGUCUUAACCGGGCGUUAAGUUGCAGGGUAUAGACCCGAAACCCGGUGAUCUAGCCAUGGGCAGGUUGAAGGUUGGGUAACACUAACUGGAGGACCGAACCGACUAAUGUUGAAAAAUUAGCGGAUGACCUGUGGCUGGGGGUGAAAGGCCAAUCAAACCGGGAGAUAGCUGGUUCUCCCCGAAAGCUAUUUAGGUAGCGCCUCGUGAAUUCAUCUCCGGGGGUAGAGCACUGUUUCGGCUAGGGGGCCAUCCCGGCUUACCAACCCGAUGCAAACUGCGAAUACCGGAGAAUGUUAUCACGGGAGACACACGGCGGGUGCUAACGUCCGUCGUGAAGAGGGAAACAACCCAGACCGCCAGCUAAGGUCCCAAAGUCAUGGUUAAGUGGGAAACGAUGUGGGAAGGCCCAGACAGCCAGGAUGUUGGCUUAGAAGCAGCCAUCAUUUAAAGAAAGCGUAAUAGCUCACUGGUCGAGUCGGCCUGCGCGGAAGAUGUAACGGGGCUAAACCAUGCACCGAAGCUGCGGCAGCGAACGUAUCACUUAAAGCGAUUCAGCGGGUUACGAUUGACGG